GACGAACGCUGGCGGCGUGCUUAACACAUGCAAGUCGAACGAUGAAGCUGGAGCUUGCUCCGGUGGAUUAGUGGCGAACGGGUGAGUAACACGUGAGCAAUCUGCCCUUGACUCUGGGAUAACUGCGGGAAACUGUAGCUAAUACCGGAUACGAGGCUCGAAGGCAUCUUCGGGUCUGGAAAGAAUUUCGGUCAAGGAUGAGCUCGCGGCCUAUCAGCUUGUUGGUGAGGUAAUGGCUCACCAAGGCGACGACGGGUAGCCGACCUGAGAGGGUGACCGGCCACACGGGGACUGAGACACGGCCCAGACUCCUACGGGAGGCAGCGGUGGGGAAUAUUGCACAAUGGGCGAAAGCCUGAUGCAGCAACGCCGCGUGAGGGAUGAAGGCCUUCGGGUUGUAAACCUCUUUUAGCAGGGAAGAAGCGAGAGUGACGGUACCUGCAGAAAAAGCACCGGCUAACUACGAGCCAGCCGCCGCAGUAA
This 483-nucleotide ribosomal RNA is filed under the name uncultured bacterium. RNAcentral's name for it is "partial 16S ribosomal RNA". It matches the Rfam family "Bacterial small subunit ribosomal RNA", at positions 28 to 523 of the family's 1533-position model. The record is from RNAcentral.